This 433-nucleotide ribosomal RNA is filed under the name uncultured bacterium. Its description in RNAcentral is "partial 16S ribosomal RNA". It matches the Rfam family "Bacterial small subunit ribosomal RNA", at positions 29 to 507 of the family's 1533-position model. The record is from RNAcentral.
AGCGAACGCUGGCGGCAGGCCUAACACAUGCAAGUCGAACGGAUCCUUCGGGAUUAGUGGCGGACGGGUGUGUAACACGUGGGAACGUGCACUUUGGGUCGGAACAACUCAGGGAAACUUGAGCUAAUACCGGAUGUGCCCUUCGGGGGAAAGAUUUAUCGCCAUUGGAGCGGCACGCGUCUGAUUAGCUAGUUGGGGAGGUAACGGCCCACCAAGGCGACGAUCAGUAGCUGGGCUGAGAGGCUGAUCAGCCACACUGGGACUGGGACACGGCCCAGACUCCUACGGGAGGCAGCAGUGGGGAAUCUUGCGCAAUGGGCGAAAGCCUGACGCAGCCAUGCCGCGUGAAUGAUGAAGGUCUUAGGAUUGUAAAAUUCUUUCAGCGGGGACGAUAAUGACGGUACCCGCAGAAGAAGCUCCGGCUAACUUCGUG